This is a non-coding RNA of Caenorhabditis elegans, 145 nucleotides long. NCBI's taxonomy places the organism in Eukaryota, Metazoa, Nematoda, Chromadorea, Rhabditida, Rhabditidae. The record is from Ensembl.
AAAUGACUAUAAAGGAGAAGAACAAAAAAAAGAACAACAUGCAAAACAAAAAUACGGAGAAACAAUUUGUAAGAGAUGACAAUUUGUAUAAGGAAUCGGAGAUGUCUUCGGACGGCGAUCCGCCUUCCCCUAUAAUCAUUUUAAC